AGUAUGUGGUUUAAUUCGAUGCAACGCGAAGAGCCUUACCUGGUCUUGACAUCCCGGAGACCCUUAGGAAACUAGGGGGUGCUUCCAUCUGGAAGAAUCUGGAGACAGGUGCUGCAUGGCUGUCGUCAGCUCGUGUCGUGAGAUGUUGGGUUAAGUCCCGCAACGAGCGCAACCCUUGCCUUUAGUUGCCAGCAGUUCGGCUGGGCACUCUAAAGGGACUGCCGGUGUUAAACCGGAGGAAGGUGGGGAUGACGUCAAGUCCUCAUGGCCUUUAUGACCAGGGCUACACACGUACUACAAUGGCCGAUACAAAGGGCAGCGACACUGCGAGGUGAAGCCAAUCCCGUAAAAUCGGUCUCAGUCCGGAUUGGAGUCUGCAACUCGACUCCAUGAAGUUGGAAUCGCUAGUAAUCGUGGAUCAGCAUGCCACGGUGAAUACGUUCCCGGGCCUU
This 452-nucleotide ribosomal RNA is filed under the name uncultured Desulfobulbus sp. Its description in RNAcentral is "bacterial SSU rRNA". It matches the Rfam family "Bacterial small subunit ribosomal RNA", at positions 936 to 1382 of the family's 1533-position model. The record is from RNAcentral. Lineage: Bacteria; Pseudomonadati; Thermodesulfobacteriota; Desulfobulbia; Desulfobulbales; Desulfobulbaceae.